Molecule: long non-coding RNA, 274 nt
Filed under: Elaeis guineensis (African oil palm)
Lineage: Eukaryota; Viridiplantae; Streptophyta; Magnoliopsida; Arecales; Arecaceae
Description: long non-coding RNA (EGUI_LNC042877)
Source: RNAcentral
UCCAAGUUUUCAAUUUUAUAGGCCCACAAUUGCAGGACUGCAGAGAUUCUGUAAGGAUCUUGCCAAUUAGAAGACAUCUUUCCUUGUUCAGUGGGCUUUGAGAUUUCUGCUCUUUCGAGGACUAAGUCUCCUAUUCGAAAGAUUUUUGAUUUGACUUGGGAGUUGGAAUACCGAGCUAUCCUUUAUUGGUAGGAGGCCAUUCUCAGUUGAGCCUAUUCUCAGGUUUCUUCAAGCAAAUCCAAGUAUGCUUGUCUCUUGUCCGAAUUAGUUGAUU